Molecule: ribosomal RNA, 445 nt
Filed under: uncultured bacterium
Lineage: Bacteria
Description: partial 16S ribosomal RNA
Rfam family: Bacterial small subunit ribosomal RNA
Source: RNAcentral
GUGAGGAAUAUUGUGCAAUGGAGGCAACUCUGACGCAGCCAUGCCGCGUGCAGGAAGAAGGCGCUACGCGUUGUAAACUGCUUUUAACCGGGAAGAAACCCCAGGACGUGUCCUGGGUUGACGGUACCGGAGGAAUAAGCACCGGCUAACUUCGUGCCAGCAGCCGCUGUAAUACGAAGGGUGCAAGCGUUAUCCGGAUUCAUUGGGUUUAAAGGGUGCGUAGGCGGAGCGUUAAGUCAGUGGUGAAAUCCUGCAGCUUAACUGUAGACUUGCCAUUGAUACUGGCGCUCUUGAGUGCGCUUGAAGUGGGCGGAAUGUGCCGUGUAGCGGUGAAAUGCUUAGAUAUGGCACAGAACACCAAUUGCGAAGGCAGCUCACUAAGGCGAUACUGACGCUGAGGCACGAAAGCGUGGGGAUCGAACAGGAUUAGAUACCCGAGUAGUCC